Molecule: ribosomal RNA, 428 nt
Filed under: uncultured bacterium
Lineage: Bacteria
Description: bacterial SSU rRNA
Rfam family: Bacterial small subunit ribosomal RNA
Source: RNAcentral
UGGGGAAUUUUGGACAAUGGGCGAAAGCCUGAUCCAGCAAUGCCGCGUGCAGGAUGAAGGCCUUCGGGUUGUAAACUGCUUUUGUACGGAACGAAACGGUCUUUUCUAAUACAAGAGGCUAAUGACGGUACCGUAAGAAUAAGCACCGGCUAACUACGUGCCAGCAGCCGCGGUAAUACGUAGGGUGCGAGCGUUAAUCGGAAUUACUGGGCGUAAAGCGUGCGCAGGCGGUUAUGUAAGACAGUUGUGAAAUCCCCGGGCUUAACCUGGGAAUUGCAUUUGUGACUGCAUAGCUAGAGUACGGUAGAGGGGGAUGGAAUUCCGCGUGUAGCAGUGAAAUGCGUAGAUAUGCGGAGGAACACCGAUGGCGAAGGCAAUCCCCUGGACCUGUACUGACGCUCAUGCACGAAAGCGUGGGGAGCAAACAG